GAUGAAGAACGCAGCGAAAUGCGAUACGUAAUGUGAAUUGCAGAAUUCAGUGAACCAUCGAGUCUUUGAACGCACAUUGCGCCCCCUGGUAUUCCGGGGGGCAUGCCUGUCCGAGCGUCAUUGCUGCCCUCAAGCACGGCUUGUGUGUUGGGCCUCCGUCCUCCUCCCGGGGGACGGGCCCGAAAGGCAGCGGCGGCACCGCGUCCGGUCCUCGAGCGUAUGGGGCUUCGUCACCCGCUCUUGUAGGCCCGGCCGGCGCUUGCCGACACAUCAAUCUUUUUUCCAGGUUGACCUCGGAUCAGGUAGGGAUACCCGCUGAACUUAAGCAUAUCAAUAAGCGGAGGA
This 345-nucleotide unclassified non-coding RNA is filed under the name soil metagenome. RNAcentral describes it as "partial contains 5.8S ribosomal RNA, internal transcribed spacer 2, and large subunit ribosomal RNA". The stretch from base 1 to 120 matches the Rfam family "5.8S ribosomal RNA", at positions 35 to 154 of the family's 154-position model. The record is from RNAcentral.